RNAcentral lists this long non-coding RNA (962 nucleotides) under Gossypium raimondii (Peruvian cotton). Its description in RNAcentral is "long non-coding RNA (GRAI_LNC009546)". Lineage: Eukaryota; Viridiplantae; Streptophyta; Magnoliopsida; Malvales; Malvaceae. The record is from RNAcentral.
AGCCUUCGAGAGAGUAUACAGUUCGUAUAAACUAUUACAAAGCUUGAACGAAGAUCCUAGAGCUUAUGCUUUACAAACCGACUACAAGGGAUUCCAUAAAAAACUAUGGCUACUUAACCUACCUUCAAAAAUAAAAAUUACAGUCUGGAAAGUAUCAUGGAACUAUCUUCCUUUACGGGCCAACAUGCAACAAAGAAGGUUAACAAACAUUACAAUUUGCCCGAGGUGUGAAAGUGGAACAGAGACUAUGAAUCACUUAUUCCGGGAAUGUCUGACUUCAGUAUUAGUAUGGGGAGAAUUAGCAUGUCAGACAUUUCUAUCUGAAUAUCAUUUGGAGUUCCCACAGUGGCUAGUCUGGGUUUUUGAGUAGAGUAACUCAGUCCAGUGUAGGAUUUUCUGCUGCAUUUUAUGGGCAAUCUGGGGAGACAAAAACGUGAGAGUGCAUAAGAAGGUUAGUAAAUCUGGAAAGGAAAUAGUGAGUUUUGUCCACAGUUAUAUUCUAGAAUUAAAUGAGAUUGAAACGAGAAGGCCAAAAGUUUUUCCAAUUGUCAGUAAAUGGAAGCACCCACCUGAUCAGUUUGUGAAGAUCAACUUUGAUGCUGCAUAUGACGAAAGAUCUUCUCAUUCGGCACUAGGAAUUGUGGCCAGAAACUGUGAAGUAAAGGUUCUCCUUGCAUGCUCGGAAAUCCACAAACAAGUUGCUUCAGCCUUUACUGCUGAGGCAAUCGCGUGUCGAAGAGCAACACAACUUGGCAUUGACAUGAAAUGGAAAAACAUUAUCAUCGAAGGUGACGCAUUAUCAAUAAUCAAAAAGUGUAAAACAAACAGUCAGGACAAGUCACUAAUAGGGGCAUAUAUACAUGAUAUUCAACAGAUCUUGCUUAAAUCUAGAAAAUGCAGAUUCGAAUAUACUCCACGAACAGCAAAUUGUCUAGCACACUCUAUUGCAAUCGAAACGAUGA